This 1922-nucleotide long non-coding RNA is filed under the name Pan troglodytes (chimpanzee). RNAcentral describes it as "long non-coding RNA NONPTRT006175". The record is from RNAcentral. Lineage: Eukaryota; Metazoa; Chordata; Mammalia; Primates; Hominidae.
GCUCAGGGGAGUCAGUCGGGGAUCACUGCCUCUCCAAACCAUUUAAAGUUAAAGAUUCUUUUAUUAAUAAAUUCUCCCUCCCCUCCAAACUCUCCCCAAAAUAAAUAUCUCCUCCCCGCUUUGGGGAGUUGGGGGGGUCUGUAUCUUAGGGCCAGCCCUCCUAGUGGGCCAGCCCCCUAGUGUUAAAAAUAGGUCCCUAACCCCCCAGGGUGACCCCCGUGGUGGAAUUUCAGGACAUCUGAGUGAGUGGGGCCUAGUGUCAAGUCUGCCCCCCAAGUCAGCCUGGCCCCCAGGGCCUCUAGGAAGGAGGGCACCCCCCUCCCCUGUGCAAAUGCUGCAGUUCCUUAGUCAGUGUCAGCUGUUUUGUGUGAGCCAGCGUGAGGCUCCCUUUCUGUUCUGGAGCCAGAGGCAGAGACUGGCUCUAGAAUGGAUGAAUGAAUGAUGAGUGGGCGAGCCCCGGCUGGCAGGGGGCACAUUGUCACUGGAUCAGCGCCACAGCUGGGCAGCCCUCUCCGCCGGUCUCCUCUAUGGGGGCUGCAAGAUAAGAGGUGGGAUCGUCAGCAGCAGAGAAAAGGUCGAGUGCUGACAGGGCUGGGCAGGCCAGGGCACACUUACUGGUGAACUUCUCUCUCCUGCGGCAUCGUCUCCAGACCAAAAAGCCAGAAAGCAGCCCCAGCACGAAGGUCAGGCUCAGAGCGCCCCCAAGGAUGGGCCAAAGCAGCCGGAAGGGGGCAGGAGGUGCUGCAGCGCCUGGGGGCGGGACUCGGAGUCAGACCUCGCCCCUCUCCAGGCCAGCCCCGCCCCCUAAGACUGAGCCUUCUGCCUUCUCCCAAACGUGGCCUCCUCCCUGACCGGAGCCCCCUCCCAGCUCCCACCUCCUCCCGAUUGAUUUCCCAGAUGCAAAGCUCUCGGCCCUGCUCUGCGCACCAGCCACCCUCCCUCCCAGUCUGGGGUCCGCUGGCCACUGGCCCUGCCCCCCACUCACAGCCCAGGCAGAAGUCGCUGUGCGGUCGCGCCCUGCAAGACGCGCAGUCCAUGCACUUGUCCAGGUCCGCGCUCCAGGAGCUGCCGCGGGAGCAGGGGGCGGUGCCUGGGGAGGGGGCCUCGGGUCAGAGGCUGGGGGCGGGACUCGGCUAUUCUGGGGUCUGAGGUCAGGGUCGGCCGGCUCGAAUAACGUGAGUCACUGGCGCCCUCCCCGCGCAUUCCUCACAGGUGACCGCACGGCCCGACCGGGACACGGCAGCUCCGGGAGGGAGGGCGUAGCGCGGGACGCUGGGGGUGGGGGGGUCAGGUCCCCACAACCCCCCUGCCGCCGGCGGGUGACUCACUCCUGGGCACCGGGCCCGACCCCAGUCCCUCCCCCCGCAUAGCUGGGCACUGAAGUCACCGGAUGGAAGGGGGCACCCCACAUGGUAUAGAGGGCACAGACCCUAGUGCCUCUCGACGGCCUCCCCAACUCAUCGAUCACUGGGGCUAGUUAGACCCUGUACGGACCAGGCUGGGGGCGUGCCCCUUCCUAGACUAAACAUCCCGCCCUCACUCACUUUCUCUCUGCAUUCGAAGUACUUCGGACUUUUGGAACUGAAGACCCCUCCAACCCCAAUUGGACGGUGGGAGAAACUGAGGCCCGGAUUGUGAAUGAAGCUUGGAGAGUGAUGGAACUUCCCACAGCCGGGAGCGAGCUGUUUGAAGGCCACCUGACCCCAGAUCCCCACAUCCGCCUGUUCCCCCAGUUCGGCGCUGUUCUCCAGACACCCAGUCCGGCUCCCGAGCCCCGGCCCGGGGUUCCCCGACCCCGGAGUCCCGCGUACCUGGCGCUUGCUCCCCGGCCACGGAGCGCAGCAACGCCAGCCAGAGCCCCAGCACGAGGAGCCGCAGCAACCGGCGCAGCGAGCCCCGAGCCAUAGUGCACGUCCUGCGCC